This 740-nucleotide ribosomal RNA is filed under the name uncultured bacterium. Its description in RNAcentral is "bacterial SSU rRNA". It matches the Rfam family "Bacterial small subunit ribosomal RNA", at positions 28 to 762 of the family's 1533-position model. The record is from RNAcentral.
AUUGAACGCUGGCGGCAUGCCUUACACAUGCAAGUCGGACGGUAACAGGUCUUCGGAUGCUGACGAGUGGCGAACGGGUGAGUAAUACAUCGGAACGUGCCCGAUCGUGGGGGAUAGCUCGGCGAAAGCCGGAUUAAUACCGCAUACGAUCUACGGAUGAAAGCAGGGGACCGCAAGGCCUUGCGCGAACGGAGCGGCCGAUGGCAGAUUAGGUAGUUGGUGGGGUAAAGGCUCACCAAGCCGACGAUCUGUAGCUGGUCUGAGAGGACGACCAGCCACACUGGGACUGAGACACGGCCCAGACUCCUACGGGAGGCAGCAGUGGGGAAUUUUGGACAAUGGGCGCAAGCCUGAUCCAGCAAUGCCGCGUGCAGGAUGAAGGCCUCGGGUUGUAAACUGCUUUUUGUACGGAACGAAAAAGGCUCUGGUUAAUACCUGGGGCUCAUGACGGUACCGUAAGAAUAAGCACCGGCUAACUACGUGCCAGCAGCCGCGGUAAUACGUAGGGUGCGAGCGUUAAUCGGAAUUACUGGGCGUAAAGCGUGCGCAGGCGGUGAUGUAAGACAGUUGUGAAAUCCCCGGGCUCAACCUGGGGAACUGCAUCUGUGACUGCAUCGCUGGAGUGCGGCAGAGGGGGAAUGGAAUUCCGCGUGUAGCAGUGAAAUGCGUAGAUAUGCGGAGGAACACCGAUGGCGAAGGCAAUCCCCUGGGCCUGCACUGACGCUCAUGCACGAAAGCGU